Molecule: unclassified non-coding RNA, 423 nt
Filed under: fungal sp.
Lineage: Eukaryota; Fungi
Description: partial internal transcribed spacer region
Source: RNAcentral
AAGUCGUAACAAGGUUUCCGGAGGUGAACUAAACGUAAACUAAGUCGUAAAAAGGUAUCCAAACGUUAAACCCCCCCGUGAACCUUCAUCGUGCUCUAGUGGGCCACUGAUAAACACAGCAAUUCCUGGUAAAUCUUUGUCUGAACAAGCCUUUGAGUCAGGAACCUCUGUGCAGUGCGAGCUACACCCACUAUAGAAGCGCUAGUUCCAUCGGCAUUGUUUCCCCAAGCAGCCAGUGCGUGAAAGUGGCAACUGACUGUGCAAGGAUAACGCUUAACGAUUUUGCAGCCGCAACACGCGGGCAGAGCUUUGCCAAAGGGUCCCCAUGCCCCUUCCUUCUGCCGAUUUCACAUACAAAGCUCCAUUUUCAAUUAUGGAUGGGGUAAAACCGAACAACUGUUAACAAUGGAUAUCUUGGUUCUC